RNAcentral lists this ribosomal RNA (510 nucleotides) under Larinotus umbilicatus. Its description in RNAcentral is "partial 16S ribosomal RNA". The stretch from base 384 to 510 matches the Rfam family "Bacterial large subunit ribosomal RNA", at positions 2473 to 2600 of the family's 2925-position model. The record is from RNAcentral. Lineage: Eukaryota; Metazoa; Arthropoda; Insecta; Coleoptera; Trogossitidae.
GUCCUUUUGAUUAUAAUUUAAGGUCUGAUCUGCCCACUGAGUAUUUAAAUGGCCGCGGUAUUUUGACCGUGCAAAGGUAGCAUAAUAAUUAGUUUUUUAAUUGAAAGCUGGAAUGAAUGAUUUCAUGAGAAAAUAACUGUCUCAAAUUUAUUUAUUUUAAAAAUUUAUUUUUAAGUUAAAAAGCUUAAAUUUAAUUAAAAGACGAGAAGACCCUAUAGAGUUUAAUAUUCCAAUAAAUAAGAUUUUUUAGAUUUAAUUUUUUUAUUUGUAAAGAAUAUUUUGUUGGGGUGACAGAAAAAUUUAAUAAACUUUUUUUUAAUUUUAACAUUUAUAUAUGAUUUUUUGAUCCAAUUUUUUUGAUUAUAAGAUUAAAUUACCUUAGGGAUAACAGCGUAAUUUUUUUUGAGAGUUCUAAUCGAAAAAAGAGAUUGCGACCUCGAUGUUGGAUUAAAGUUAAAUUUUGGUGUAGAAGCUAAAAAUUUAGGUCUGUUCGACCUUUAAAACUUUACA